CCGACGGUGUAAAACGACGCUAUGCCUGAAAGAAAAGCUCUUCCCGACGUUUUAAAAAGACGUUAUGCAUGAAAGUAAUGUUCAUAACUUCCCUUUAGAAUUARSKGCCGYYGAGUYUCCRUYUAUAAAUGGAUAAUAUUUUGGUGUUAAAGUAUACUAGUUUUUGAAAGUAAAAGAGCAAUAUCAGCAGAGUUGAUAUUGCUCUUUUACUUUUCAGAGUCUUUUUUUUUUUACAACAUUUUUAUACUUAUACAUAACAUAAAUUGKGGAUUUAUUAUAAUAUUUUUUAGCAUUCUUUAUUUCAACAUAAGAGAUACAAAAAAUGAAUCUUCCCCCGCCCCCCCCCUUUUUUUCUUAGAAGACGAGUAAAAACUUAUAAAAAAAAGAAUGCGAACGAAACAGUACAAAUUAAAGUYUCAGUAAUUUUCNACAUGACAAAGGGGCGGAUGUAGCCAAGUGGAUCAGGGGGGG
This 471-nucleotide unclassified non-coding RNA is filed under the name Podolobium ilicifolium. RNAcentral's name for it is "partial miscellaneous RNA". The record is from RNAcentral. Lineage: Eukaryota; Viridiplantae; Streptophyta; Magnoliopsida; Fabales; Fabaceae.